This 454-nucleotide ribosomal RNA is filed under the name uncultured cyanobacterium. RNAcentral describes it as "bacterial SSU rRNA". It matches the Rfam family "Bacterial small subunit ribosomal RNA", at positions 28 to 524 of the family's 1533-position model. Lineage: Bacteria; Bacillati; Cyanobacteriota. The record is from RNAcentral.
GAUGAACGCUGGCGGUAUGCUUAACACAUGCAAGUCGAACGGGAUUCUUCGGAAUCUAGUGGCGGACGGGUGAGUAACGCGUGAGAAUCUGCCUUCAGGUCGGGGACAACAUUUGGAAACGAAUGCUAAUACCCGAUGUGCCGCGAGGUGAAAGGUUAACUGCCUGAAGAUGAGCUCGCGUCCGAUUAGCUAGUUGGUGGUGUAAAGGACUACCAAGGCGACGAUCGGUAGCUGGUUUGAGAGGACAAUCAGCCACACUGGGACUGAGACACGGCCCAGACUCCUACGGGAGGCAGCAGUGGGGAAUUUUCCGCAAUGGGCGAAAGCCUGACGGAGCAAUACCACGUGAGGGACGAAGGCCUGUGGGUUGUAAACCUCUUUUCUCAGGGGAAGAAGCUCUGACGGUACCUGAGGAAUCAGCAUCGGCUAACUCCGUGCCAGCAGCCGCGGUAAU